Molecule: small nucleolar RNA, 212 nt
Organism: Malaclemys terrapin pileata
Lineage: Eukaryota; Metazoa; Chordata; Testudines; Emydidae
Product: small nucleolar RNA U3
Exons: 1
Source: RefSeq, a predicted model, not a curated record
AAGGCUGUGCUUUCAGGGAUCAUUUCUUUAGUUGGUGAUUGGAGAAGGGUGGUUGUAAAAGCCUGGCCUUGCUGACCACGAUGAGGAACUGUAGUGUUUCUUUCUGAGCAUGAUAAUGGCAGAGUGCUAUUCUGUGAUAGCUGUUUUCUGCUGUGGAAGAGUGUCUUGUUCUUCCUGGUAAGAGCAAGGGAAAGAAACACAGUCUGAGUGGU